RNAcentral lists this ribosomal RNA (501 nucleotides) under Thanatephorus cucumeris. Its description in RNAcentral is "eukaryotic LSU rRNA". The stretch from base 70 to 223 matches the Rfam family "5.8S ribosomal RNA". Lineage: Eukaryota; Fungi; Basidiomycota; Agaricomycetes; Cantharellales; Ceratobasidiaceae. The record is from RNAcentral.
CCUCUGUCUACUCAAUCUAUACAAACCCAUUUAUUUUAAAGAAUGUAAUGGAUGUAACGCAUCUAUACUAAGUUUCAACAACGGAUCUCUUGGCUCUCGCAUCGAUGAAGAACGCAGCGAAAUGCGAUAAGUAAUGUGAAUUGCAGAAUUCAGUGAAUCAUCGAAUCUUUGAACGCACCUUGCGCUCCUUGGUAUUCCUUGGAGCAUGCCUGUUUGAGUAUCAUGAAAUCUUCAAAGUAAAUCUUUUGUUAACUCAAUUGGUUUCACUUUGGUAUUGGAGGUUUGCAGCUUCACACGUGCUCCUCUUUGUUCAUUAGCUGGAUCUCAGUGUUAUGCUUGGUUCCACUCGGCGUGAUAAAUUAUCUAUCGCUGAGGACACCCCAGGGGUGGCCAAGGUAAAUGCANAUNAACCGCUUCUAAUANUCCAUUGACUUGGACAAUAAUUUAUGAUCUGAUCUCAAAUCAGGUAGGACUACCCGCUGAACUUAAGCAUAUCAAUAA